AUUAGAUACCCUCGGUAGUCCGCACGGUAAACGAUGGAUGCCCGCCGUUGGGUAUUUUUAUUCAGCGGCCAAGCGAAAGCGUUAAGCAUCCCACCUGGGGAGUACGCCGGCAACGGUGAAACUCAAAGGAAUUGACGGGGGCCCGCACAAGCGGAGGAACAUGUGGUUUAAUUCGAUGAUACGCGAGGAACCUUACCCGGGCUUGAAUUGCAGAUGACGGAUCCAGAGAUGGUGACUUCCUUCGGGACAUCUGUGAAGGUGCUGCAUGGUUGUCGUCAGCUCGUGCCGUGAGGUGUCGGCUUAAGUGCCAUAACGAGCGCAACCCUUGCCGUCAGUUGCCAUCAAGUGAAGUUGGGGACUCUGGCGGGACUGCCACCGCAAGGUGCGAGGAAGGGGGGGAUGACGUCAAAUCAGCACGGCCCUUACGUCCGGGGCGACACACGUGUUACAAUGGCAGGUACAGAGGGAUGCUACCGGGCGACCGGAUGCGGAUCUCGAAAGCCUGUCCCAGUUCGGACUGGAGUCUGCAACCCGACUCCACGAAGUUGGAUUCGCUAGUAAUCGCGCAUCAGCCAUGGCGCGGUGAAUACGUUCCCGGGCCUUGUACACACCGCCCGUCAAGCCAUGGGAGCCGGGGGCGCCUGAAGUCCGGGACCGCGAGGACCGGCCUAGGGCGAAACUGGUAACUGGGGCUAAGUCGUAACAAGGUAAC
RNAcentral lists this ribosomal RNA (712 nucleotides) under uncultured bacterium. RNAcentral describes it as "bacterial SSU rRNA". It matches the Rfam family "Bacterial small subunit ribosomal RNA", at positions 777 to 1500 of the family's 1533-position model. The record is from RNAcentral.